CAAGAGCGUAUGUAAAAGUUGUUGCAGUUAAAAAGCUCGUAGUUGAACCUUGGGUUUGGUUGGCCGGUCCGCUUUUUUGCGAGUACUGGAUUCAACCGAGCCUUUCCUUCUGGCUAACCAGUCGUUUCGGCGGCUGGAGAACCAGGAUUUUUACUUUGAGAAAAUUAGAGUGUUCAAAGCAGGCAUUAGCUUGAAUAUAUUAGCAUGGAAUAAUAGAAUAGGACGUUAUGGUUCUAUUUUGUUGGUUUCUAGGACCAUCGUAAUGAUUAAUAGGGACGGUCGGGGGCAUCAGUAUUCAGUUGUCAGAGGUGAAAUUCUUGGAUUUACUGAAGACUAACUACUGCGAAAGCAUUUGCCAAGGACGUUUUCAUUAA
Molecule: ribosomal RNA, 374 nt
Filed under: uncultured eukaryote
Lineage: Eukaryota
Description: partial 18S ribosomal RNA
Rfam family: Eukaryotic small subunit ribosomal RNA
Source: RNAcentral